This 77-nucleotide transfer RNA is filed under the name Verrucomicrobiota bacterium. RNAcentral describes it as "Verrucomicrobia bacterium (freshwater metagenome) tRNA-Arg". It matches the Rfam family "tRNA". Rfam says of the family: Transfer RNA (tRNA) molecules are approximately 80 nucleotides in length. Their secondary structure includes four short double-helical elements and three loops (D, anti-codon, and T loops). Further hydrogen bonds mediate the characteristic L-shaped molecular structure. tRNAs have two regions of fundamental functional importance: the anti-codon, which is responsible for specific mRNA codon recognition, and the 3' end, to which the tRNAs corresponding amino acid is attached (by aminoacyl-tRNA synthetases). tRNAs cope with the degeneracy of the genetic code in two manners: having more than one tRNA (with a specific anti-codon) for a particular amino acid; and 'wobble' base-pairing, i.e. permitting non-standard base-pairing at the 3rd anti-codon position. Lineage: Bacteria; Pseudomonadati; Verrucomicrobiota. The record is from RNAcentral.
GCGCUCGUAGCUCAGUUGGAUAGAGCAUCCGCCUUCUAAGCGGACGGUCGCGCGUUCGAACCGCGCCGAGCGCACCA